Molecule: unclassified non-coding RNA, 218 nt
Filed under: Hevea brasiliensis (rubber tree)
Lineage: Eukaryota; Viridiplantae; Streptophyta; Magnoliopsida; Malpighiales; Euphorbiaceae
Source: RNAcentral
AAAUAAGUAUUUUUGUAUUAAAAAGAAAUAGUUUAAAUAUUUAUAUAUUUUGUGAAGAUUUUUUUUUUUUUAGGGAGGGUAGUAAAUUUAAUUUUUGUAUGGUAAGAUUAUAUAGAAAUUGGUUUAUAUAGUUGUUUUUUUGAAAGAUUAUAUAGUUGUAUUUUUUGAUAGAUUUAGGGAAUAGUUGAUUAGUAGAGAUAGUUAGAAAUGUUAUUUGU